AGUCGAACGGAAGUCGUUAUAAAAAGGAUUGAGGAUUUAUCUGAUUGAGAUUUUAUAACAAUGGCUUUAGUGGCGGACUGGUGAGUAACGCGUGAGCAACCUGCCUACUAGAGGGGAAUAACAGUGAGAAAUCAUCGCUAAUACCGCAUAUGCCAUGAACAUCACAUGAUGAAAGUGGGAAAAGAGUAAUCUGCUAGUAGAUGGGCUCGCGUCUGAUUAGAUAGUUGGUGGGGUAACGGCCUACCAAGUCGACGAUCAGUAGCCGGACUGAGAGGUUGAACGGCCACAUUGGGACUGAGAUACGGCCCAGACUCCUACGGGAGGCAGCAGUCGGGAAUAUUGCGCAAUGGAGGAAACUCUGACGCAGUGACGCCGCGUAUAGGAAGAAGGUUUUCGGAUUGUAAACUAUUGUCGUUAGGGAAGAUACAAGACAGUACCUAAGGAGGAAGCUCCGGCUAACUACGUGCCAGCAGCCGCGGUAAUACGUAGGGAGCAAGCGUUAUCCGGAUUUAUUGGGUGUAAAGGGUGCGUAGACGGGAAAGCAAGUUAGUUGUGAAAUCCCUCGGCUUAACUGAGGAACUGCAACUAAAACUGUUUUUCUUGAGUGUUGGAGAGGAAAGUGGAAUUCCUAGUGUAGCGGUGAAAUGCGUAGAUAUUAGGAGGAACACCGGUGGCGAAGGCGACUUUCUGGACAAUAACUGACGUUGAGGCACGAAAGUGUGGGGAGCAAACAGGAUUAGAUACCCUGGUAGUCCACACCGUAAACGAUGGAUACUAGGUGUAGGGAAUGAUUUCAUUUUCUGUGCCGUCGCAAACGCAAUAAGUAUCCCACCUGGGGAGUACGGCCGCA
This 850-nucleotide ribosomal RNA is filed under the name uncultured bacterium. Its description in RNAcentral is "bacterial SSU rRNA". It matches the Rfam family "Bacterial small subunit ribosomal RNA", at positions 60 to 890 of the family's 1533-position model. The record is from RNAcentral.